AUUGAACGCUGGCGGAAUGCUUUACACAUGCAAGUCGAACGGUAGAGGGAGCAAUCCUGGUGGCGAGUGGCGAACGGGUGAGUAAUGUAUCGGAACGUGCCCAGUCGUGGGGGAUAACGUAGCGAAAGCUACGCUAAUACCGCAUACGAUCUAUGGAUGAAAGCGGGGGACCGUAAGGCCUCGCGCGAUUGGAGCGGCCGAUAUCAGAUUAGGUAGUUGGUGGGGUAAAGGCCUACCAAGCCGACGAUCUGUAGCUGGUCUGAGAGGACGACCAGCCACACUGGGACUGAGACACGGCCCAGACUCCUACGGGAGGCAGCAGUGGGGAAUUUUGGACAAUGGGCGCAAGCCUGAUCCAGUAAUGCCGCGUGCAGGAUGAAGGCCUUCGGGUUGUAAACUGCUUUUGUACGGAGCGAAAAGGCUCUCUCUAAUACAGGGGGCUCAUGACGGUACCGUAAGAAUAAGCACCGGCUAACUACGUGCCAGCAGCCGCCGCCG
Molecule: ribosomal RNA, 498 nt
Filed under: uncultured bacterium
Lineage: Bacteria
Description: partial 16S ribosomal RNA
Rfam family: Bacterial small subunit ribosomal RNA
Source: RNAcentral